UGCUGGCAUGCAGGGAGCCAGGCAUGCUCAUUAUGGUCUACCUUUAUCAGAUCUCCACCUCAGUAAACUGCAGACUGGUCUACUUCCGGCUGGUUUCCCGCCACUACUUGAUCAUGCUGCUACUCAUACUAGAAUCUCAAAUAGUCCUAUCAUUCAAAAGCCUAGCAUGAGUGAGAAUGUAUCUUGUGUGCUAACCAUGGCGCAUUCUACCCAGAUUUCAAAGAAAACUGAUGAUGUGAAGACACCCCAACUUGUACUGUUUGGUCAACCUAUACUCACUGAGCAGCAAAUCUCUCUUAGUUGCUCUGGUGAUACAUUGUCACCAGUUCAUACUGGAAAUAGUUCAUCUAAAGGAAAUUUAGAUAAAAUGACAAAUUUUUCUGAUUGCUCUGGAUCUGCUCUUCAUCAGCAAAGCCUGUCGGAGCGGUCAUCAUGUGAGGGUUUCCAAUGGCACAAGAAUAACCCCCAAGAAAAUGAGCCCUCCUUGGAGAUUGGUCACUGCAAAGUCUUCAUGGAAUUAGAGGAUGUGGGUCGGACUCUCGACCUUUCAUUGCUCAGCUCUUAUGAAGAGCUAAACAAAAAACUAGCGGACAUGUUUAAGAUAGAAAAUUCGGAGACACUAAACAAUGUGCUUUACCGUGAUGUUACAGGCGCCGUCAAACACAUUGGGUGUGAACCAUUCAGGUGUGAGUCUUUUGUUAUUUAAGCCUGUGAUGGUUAUUUUUCUGAGUGUUCUAUUUUUUGAGAGGAUGUGUGUUGAUUCAUUUCUUGCAGUGACUUCAUGAAAACAGCAAGGAGACUGACAAUUCUAAUGGAUUCAAGCAGUGACAAUGUAGGAUUGUAGAGGAAGAAAUAAACUUUGUUUGCUUUUAAACUGUACAGCUGGCUGAUCAAAUCCUUCUUCGUCGUUCCUGAGCUGACUUUUUAUCCUUCUUCAACCUGUGGGAGGAGCUGCUCUGAUCCAAUUUUUAGACUUUUCAGCUAAAAUUUGUAGAUUCUCGUUUCUCCUUAGUUUUAAAAGAAUGAAUAUUUUUAUUUCAAGAAUCAUAUAUUUCAUUCAGCAUUUUGUUGUGCAUUGUUUCUUUAAG
Molecule: unclassified non-coding RNA, 1088 nt
Filed under: Hevea brasiliensis (rubber tree)
Lineage: Eukaryota; Viridiplantae; Streptophyta; Magnoliopsida; Malpighiales; Euphorbiaceae
Source: RNAcentral